AUACGUAGGGGGCGAGCGUUGUCCGGAAUGAUUGGGCGUAAAGGGCGCGUAGGCGGCCCGGUAAGUCUGGAGUGAAAGUCCUGUUUUUAAGAUGGGAAUUGCUUUGGAUACUGUCGGGCUUGAGUGCAGGAGAGGUAAGUGGAAUUCCCAGUGUAGCGGUGAAAUGCGUAGAGAUUGGGAGGAACACCAGUGGCGAAGGCGACUUACUGGACUGUAACUGACGCUGAGGCGCGAAAGUGUGGGGAGCAAACAGGAUUAGAUACCCUGGUAGUCCACACUGUAAACGAUGAAUGCUAGGUGUAGGGGGUAUCGACCCCUUCUGUGCCGCAGUCAACACAAUAAGCAUUCCGCCUGGGGAGUACGGCCGCAAGGUAGAAACUCAAAGGAAUUGACGGGG
RNAcentral lists this ribosomal RNA (397 nucleotides) under uncultured bacterium. RNAcentral describes it as "partial 16S ribosomal RNA". It matches the Rfam family "Bacterial small subunit ribosomal RNA", at positions 523 to 918 of the family's 1533-position model. The record is from RNAcentral.